CCAGCAGCCGCGGUAAUUCCAGCUCCAAUAGCGUAUAUUAAAGUUGUUGCAGUUAAAAAGCUCGUAGUUGGAUUUCAAGAGACGCAGCGUGGAUAACACGUCUGCCCUCUACCAGUCUUUGACUGUUACUGUGAAAAAAUUAGAGUGUUCCAGGCGAUCGGUUCGACUGAAUAGAUUAGCAUGGAAUAAUGGAAGAGGACGAAGUUUCCACUUUUGUUGGUCGGUGGAGGACGUUGUAAUGAUUAAGAGGGACAGUUGGGGACAUUCGUAUUUAAUAGCUAGAGGUGAAAUUCAAGGACUUAUGAAAGACGGACUUCUGCGAAAGCAUCUGCCAAGGAUGUUUUCAUUGAUCAAGAACGAAAGU
Molecule: ribosomal RNA, 364 nt
Filed under: uncultured eukaryote
Lineage: Eukaryota
Description: SSU rRNA
Rfam family: Eukaryotic small subunit ribosomal RNA
Source: RNAcentral